UGCAGCGUAGCUCCGCGGCAGAGCGCGGCGCUCAUAACACCUUGGUUGCUGGUUCGACCCCAGGCGCUGCAACCA
RNAcentral lists this transfer RNA (75 nucleotides) under Aliisedimentitalea sp. MJ-SS2. Its description in RNAcentral is "tRNA-Met". It matches the Rfam family "tRNA". From Rfam's summary of the family: Transfer RNA (tRNA) molecules are approximately 80 nucleotides in length. Their secondary structure includes four short double-helical elements and three loops (D, anti-codon, and T loops). The record is from RNAcentral. Lineage: Bacteria; Pseudomonadati; Pseudomonadota; Alphaproteobacteria; Rhodobacterales; Roseobacteraceae.